UCAAAAGAAAAGAAAGAAAGCGGCAUGAACGGAGUGAACAGAAAAUCUUUUUCAAGUGAAUAUUCCUUUCCAGUGUAAAAAACGACAAUUUUUUCAAAUUCUCAUUUAACAGAUUAACUGAGUUUGAAGGGACCUUGUAGGUCUUCUAGUCCAAAGCUACCACCACCACUAGGCUGUCCAAGCAGGAGAUCCUACAUCAUUUCUAACAAAUGGCAGGUCAGUUUCUUCUUGAAAGCUGCCAGUGGUCAAGUUCCCCCAAUUUCUGAAGGUAUGCCUGAUCCAGGAAGUAAGAAAGCAGAGUUCUCUAUCUCACAACUGUCUUAAGAUGUCCUGGAUUCAAGACUUGAGCACCACACAAUGGGAUGAGUUCCACAUUUCUAGACCCUGCUCCUGUCCACCUAGCAGUUUGAAAACAUGAAAAUGUGAGUAGAUAAAAUAGGUACCACUUUGGUGAGAAGGUAAGUAUUCCAUGCUAGCUACAUGACCGCAGAAAAUGUCUUUGGACAAUGCUGUCUCCCUCCACCAAGACAUGGAGAGGAGCCUAGGCCCUAGAGUCAGACAUAACUAGAUACAGAAACUAUUAAAAAUAUUGUUUUAAUGUCAUGACUUCCAAUGGAAAUUUACCUUCAUUUCUUGUUUGGAUAUUGCAGUUGACUAGGGAUAAUAUAGUUUGCAGAUUGGGAAAAACUGUGGCAGAAGAAAACAUUCUAUAUUUCUGCUCCUAGGAAUCUGACUGUCCACAAAAUUAAUCAUAACUUAAUGUGAAAAUGAAAUUACUACCCUAUCAAAAUGAUCUUCAUUAACAAUAUUUUAGCAUUUCCUUCCCAAAUACUACUUGCAUUAAGCUGUUUCCUGAAUUAGUCAUUUUAAAUAUGAAAUCUCUUACUAUGAUUAGGAAAAACUUGCAACACAUGCCUUCUGUUACAAAAUAGGUCAAUACAGAGAGAAGAUAAUGCUACAUUAUUAUUUUGUUUAUAUAAACAAAUCACUACAGUGGGAGCAAUAUCUCUCAAUAUUAUCUCAAUUUCUUUGAGACAUGGGAAUCAAAUUUAAGAAUUGAUGUCUCAGAUACACUUUGGACGAACUCCCAUUAUGAUCGCUAUCGGCAAAUAUCAGGAAAAUUAUUUAAAGUAAUGAUAUGCAUUUAUCAAUAUCUGAUUCAUUAUACCCCAUUUAAGUUGAUAAAAUUACUGGGAAAGGCCUAUAUAUAUAUAUUAAAAAACUUAAUAAAGGUAGAAGAUAUGAUUACUGUUAUUAUUUAGUGAAAUAAUUCAAAGAACUGAAAAUAUAACUGUGAUUCAUGAUUGUUGCUACAAGAUUGGUUGUAGCACAGUAUUGUGAAAAUUCAGAAGCUCCAUCAUUAGAUGUCUAGUAGAAAGCAUUAUGGAAGUGUUCUAAUGAAAAAAUAAAACAUAUAAAAGAUGGAAGGUAUUGGGAUAUAUUAGAAAAGUUGCCUUUGCUUCUAUUAGAGAAAAAAGGAAUCCUUUUUUCAAAGCAAACUAAGCCAAAUGCUAAAACUAAAUAAGCUAGGAAAUGUGUUUUGCAAUCUUCUCAUUUAGAUGAACUUGGAGGAUAAUAUAAACCACACUAACAUGAUUUUUCAGAUAUUUAAAUCUGGAUAUCACUCCAGAAAGCAGGCCCUGAAGCAAAGCAGCCACAACACUUGGGUCCUAUGAAAUGACUCUGCUUGAUUGAUGGGACCUGAAGCAACCCCCUCAGCCACAUCUUGCCAGAUGCAGAGAAACAACCAGACAGAGGUGAUCCCUUGAAUAAUUACGGCUAUGUCAUGAGGCGCAUGUUUUCCUGUACCAUCUGGAUAUUGGAAACUGCAAGUUUCUGUUCUAUUCCGAUUUCCUUUUUCUCUGCACUCCAGCAACUAUAUUGAAGGAUUCCUCAAAACCUUUUUUUAAAAUCUCCAAUCCUGUCCACUAUCCAUGGGAUGCCACUGGAGUCAGUCAUUAGGAGUUUUGAGGGCUUAGCAUCAUCAGCAUUAUGCAAAAUUAGAUUCAGCUUUAUUUCUGCAUAACUUCUGACUCGGGAAAGGCUGUGCCUAUCUAAAUACAACAAUGGGAUAGAUAAAUCCUGAUAAGCAGAGGCUUUGUUGGGAGUACGGUUUCUGGGUAUAGGUAUUUUCACUGUUCCUGGAUUCAUUGCUGUAAUAGGAGCCUCAAUAACCUCUGUGACCACCUAUAGUGGCAAAAUACCUUAUCUUGUAUCCUUUAAUAUCUGACAAAGACCAAUCUGCCCACUGUGAGAAUAUUCUGUUUUUAUCAAAACUGUUAAUAUAUUAUUCUUAUUAACAAUGAUAUGGUAAGAUGCUUGAAUAUAUGCUCAUAUAGGAAGGUAUAGAAAAAUUAAAUGGCAAAAUAAAUUGUAUCUCCUGUUAGACAAGCUAAUAAUAUCAGCAUAGCUAUUAUAUCAGACUGCAGGCAAAUAUUUCUGAAAUCUUUUUAUAUAACUUUGCUUACACUAAUACAAUUCUUGGUGGAAAGUCUUAACUAAGAAGACUAAAUAAUUCAAUUUUCUAUGGUAGCUGACAUUUCAAUAUCCCGUUCCCACUUUUGAUUUGUUAGAUUUUGUAUCUUGCCUUUCUGUUGGAAGUUCAAGAUAGCAUGCAUAGAACUCUGUUGUUCAGUUUUUCCCACAACUUCAUGAGAUUGAUUUAUCCUUCCAGUGUUUUCUGAAUAUUAUCAUUUUUUAUUGCAGGUUUAUUCAUAAAAAUUGUAACAAUUUAUCUAAAAACCAUAUGUUUGUAUUUCAGACUAUUGAAAAACAAACUAUCACUUUGAAGUUCUGACCAUUUGAUAACCAAAUCUUAAUUGUUCAAAUCAAAGUGUUGUUUUAGUAGAAAUUGACAAUUAAAGUACAAAUAAGAGCAGCAGAUCAGUGUUGAAAAUGAUCCCACCUUAUCUGGUUAAUCCUUUUUACUUCAAGAUUCUAUUUUCAAAAGAACUGAUAAGGAACAAAGGAAGGAGAUAAUAAAUAGCCUUGGACAAGAUUCUACCUUUCAGCUAGCAUUUGAAUAUAAAACACUAGUAAAUUGUCAGAGAAUUAAGGUUUUACUUUUUCCUGCCUUUAACUUUCUAGGGCAGGCAGGAAUUAAGCAUAAAAUAAUUUUCCCCCACUAUCUCUCAGCAAAGAAAACAAUAUAUUUGUGCUUUGCAGAAAUUAGCCCCUACUAACAAAGAGUCUAGUUACUUAAAUAUCUCAAGUAUUGCUUGAAAAGAUGAAAUAUAUUACAUGUUUCCUAGUGAAUAGUUCUUAUAUCCUUGAAAACGGUAGGCAACACAAUUUUAAAAGUCAUAUGUACAGAGUAAUACUAUCUAAAUCCAUCGAAUUUGAACAAGCACCACUUCCCAUUUUAUUGUUCUAGAAGUAUGAAAUUUUCACUGGGUGUCUGGCUAUCUUCACAUACUAAGAUGUUGUAUGGAAUUAUUUAGGACCAGGCCUCAGCAGUAUGGAAUAACUUCACCUAGUUUCAGCUCAGUUACCUGAAUUACCUACUCAGUUACUGAAUGCCUCAAUUACCUUCUUUUUCUUCUCAGUUUUGGUCACCAUCAGAGGUGGGUUCUGGCUGCUGCUACUGCCAGUUUGCCCAGGGGCGCGCUGCGCUAUGUGCAUAUGUGCAUACUAAAACAAUGCUUCUGUGUAUGCAGAGAAGCAAAAAACAAGAUGGCGCCGAACCGGUAGGAAUCCACCUCUGGUCACCAUAAUACAAAAAAUAUGCUAUAGCCCUAGGACAGUGAUGGGCAACCUUUUUGGCGUGGUGUGUCAAAAAUCGGCAAA
This is a long non-coding RNA of Thamnophis elegans (Western terrestrial garter snake), 3786 nucleotides long. RefSeq lists it as uncharacterized. NCBI's taxonomy places the organism in Eukaryota, Metazoa, Chordata, Lepidosauria, Squamata, Natricidae. The record is from RefSeq and is a predicted model, not a curated record. The transcript has 3 exons.